GCCGUUGUUGCUCGACUCGUCGAGCAGGUUUCGGGUGGUUACUUGCCUUCAUUAAUCAUGGAAACCGUCCGAAACUUGCUCGACGUCAAGUAACCACACC
Molecule: microRNA precursor, 100 nt
Filed under: Petromyzon marinus (sea lamprey)
Lineage: Eukaryota; Metazoa; Chordata; Hyperoartia; Petromyzontiformes; Petromyzontidae
Description: microRNA pma-mir-4550 precursor
Source: miRBase by way of RNAcentral